Flavobacterium sp. CF136 is the source of this 89-nucleotide non-coding RNA. The record is from Rfam. Lineage: Bacteria; Pseudomonadati; Bacteroidota; Flavobacteriia; Flavobacteriales; Flavobacteriaceae.
ACUUAAUCUGGGUUCGCGUGAGGGAUAGCAGCGACAUCCUUUUGGGGCGGGGUUCGCCCCAAAAGAUAUAGCGGAUAGCCCGACCCGUA